Molecule: ribosomal RNA, 439 nt
Filed under: uncultured bacterium
Lineage: Bacteria
Description: partial 16S ribosomal RNA
Rfam family: Bacterial small subunit ribosomal RNA
Source: RNAcentral
CUACGGGUUGCUGCAGUGGGGAAUAUUGCGCAAUGGGCGAAAGCCUGACGCAGCAAUGCCGCGUGAGUGAAGAAGGCUUUCGAGUCGUAAAGCUCUUUUAUCUGAGAAGAUAAUGACGGUAUCAGAUGAAUAAGCACCGGCUAACUACGUGCCAGCAGCCGCGGUAAUACGUAGGGUGCAAGCGUUGUUCGGAAUCACUGGGCGUAAAGGGCGUGUAGGCGGAAAAAUAAGUUAUCGGUGAAAUCCCGGGGCUCAACCCCGGAACUGCUGAUAAUACUGUUUUUCUAGAGUGAGCUAGAGGUUAGUGGAAUUCCUGGUGUAGAGGUGAAAUUCGUAGAUAUCAGGAGGAACACCGGCGGCGAAGGCGGCUAACUGGAGCUUUACUGACGCUGAGGCGCGAAAGCAUGGGGAGCAAACAGGAUUAGAUACCCGCGUAGUC